RNAcentral lists this ribosomal RNA (253 nucleotides) under uncultured bacterium. Its description in RNAcentral is "partial 16S ribosomal RNA". It matches the Rfam family "Bacterial small subunit ribosomal RNA", at positions 524 to 776 of the family's 1533-position model. The record is from RNAcentral.
UACGUAGGGUGCGAGCGUUGUCCGGAAUUAUUGGGCGUAAAGGGCUCGUAGGCGGUUUGUCGCGUCGGGAGUGAAAUCCACUGGCUUAACUGGUGGCUUGCUUUCGAUACGGGCAGACUGGAGGUAUGCAGGGGAGAACGGAAUUCCUGGUGUAGCGGUGAAAUGCGCAGAUAUCAGGAGGAACACCGGUGGCGAAGGCGGCUUGCUGGGCCAGUUCUGACGCUGAGGAGCGAAAGCGUGGGGAGCGAACAGG